RNAcentral lists this transfer RNA (87 nucleotides) under Bacteroidota bacterium. RNAcentral's name for it is "Bacteroidetes bacterium (freshwater bacterium LH6-2 metagenome) tRNA-Leu". It matches the Rfam family "tRNA". Rfam says of the family: Transfer RNA (tRNA) molecules are approximately 80 nucleotides in length. Their secondary structure includes four short double-helical elements and three loops (D, anti-codon, and T loops). Further hydrogen bonds mediate the characteristic L-shaped molecular structure. tRNAs have two regions of fundamental functional importance: the anti-codon, which is responsible for specific mRNA codon recognition, and the 3' end, to which the tRNAs corresponding amino acid is attached (by aminoacyl-tRNA synthetases). tRNAs cope with the degeneracy of the genetic code in two manners: having more than one tRNA (with a specific anti-codon) for a particular amino acid; and 'wobble' base-pairing, i.e. permitting non-standard base-pairing at the 3rd anti-codon position. RNAcentral also lists the same sequence under 1 other name. Lineage: Bacteria; Pseudomonadati; Bacteroidota. The record is from RNAcentral.
GGGCGAGUGCUGAAAUUGGCAGACAGGCGGGUCUCAGAAGCCCGUGUUCGCAAGAACGUGUGGGUUCAAGUCCCACUUCGCCCACAA